RNAcentral lists this non-coding RNA (30 nucleotides) under Mus musculus (house mouse). The record is from RNAcentral. Lineage: Eukaryota; Metazoa; Chordata; Mammalia; Rodentia; Muridae.
UGAUCACUGUGGUUGUUAGAUAUUGGUAGU